GACGAACGCUGGCGGCGUGCUUAACACAUGCAAGUCGAACGGUGAAGCGCCUUCCCUUUUGGUGGGUGUGGAUGAGUGGCGAACGGGUGAGUAACACGUGAGUAACCUGCCCCCUUCUUCUGGAUAACCGCAUGAAAGUGUGGCUAAUACGGGAUAUUCUGGGUCUGUCGCAUGAUGGGUCUGGGAAAGAUAUUGUUUCGGUGGGGGAUGGGCUCGCGGCCUAUCAGCUUGUUGGUGGGGUGAUGGCCUACCAAGGCGGUGACGGGUAGCCGGCCUGAGAGGGUGGACGGUCACACUGGGCCUGAGACACGGCCCAGACUCCUACGGGAGGCAGCAGUGGGGAAUAUUGCACAAUGGGCGCAAGCCUGAUGCAGCGACGCCGCGUGAGGGAUGGAGGCCUUCGGGUUGUGAACCUCUUUCGCCAGUGAAGCAGGCCUGCCUCGUUUGUGGGUGGGUUGACGGUAGCUGGAUAAGAAGCGCCGGCUAACUACGUG
This 494-nucleotide ribosomal RNA is filed under the name uncultured bacterium. RNAcentral's name for it is "partial 16S ribosomal RNA". It matches the Rfam family "Bacterial small subunit ribosomal RNA", at positions 28 to 507 of the family's 1533-position model. The record is from RNAcentral.